This 292-nucleotide long non-coding RNA is filed under the name Ictidomys tridecemlineatus (thirteen-lined ground squirrel). RNAcentral describes it as "lncRNA (ENSSTOG00000033570.1)". Lineage: Eukaryota; Metazoa; Chordata; Mammalia; Rodentia; Sciuridae. The record is from RNAcentral.
UUUCUCUAAAAUGACUGGCAACUUCCAACAGUUUCCUUGGCGCAGGCACAGAGAAGACUGGGUCUUUAGCAGUGUGCCUGAAACAGUGGAAGCUCAACACAGGCAGAGUUAUGAAGAAAACGGAGAACAAAAUGUAUACCUGUCAAUGAGUCCUGCAGAAUUCUACCCUCCAAAAUCUUAGGUGUUUUGAAUCUCAAUUAUGUAAGCGAUGGAAAAUAAUUCAUGUUUCUCACUGGAAGGCCCAAAGUUUAAAGAACAGUGAGUAACCUUUUGAAUUGUGCAUAGAUAAUUA